AUGCAGCAAAAUCAUAUACAUCAUCAUCCUUCCUUAUCUAAAAGAAAUUCUCAUCUAUCUCCCGAAUUUUCGACCACAACCUAUAAGUUCCUUCUUUAUAACCCCACAUGUUCACCAACUUACAAAUUUCAGCCAUUGUCCAUUUCUCAUGUGUUGACCAAAAACAAUCGUAUCAACACCCACUUUGUAUAUGAUAUCAUUCUUCUUGACCAUCAUAAAUUCACCCUCAUAGUAAAAAAACUCCAUUAA
Molecule: non-coding RNA, 249 nt
Organism: Vicia faba (fava bean)
Lineage: Eukaryota; Viridiplantae; Streptophyta; Magnoliopsida; Fabales; Fabaceae
Source: the annotation of a GenBank genome assembly